This 254-nucleotide ribosomal RNA is filed under the name uncultured bacterium. Its description in RNAcentral is "partial 16S ribosomal RNA". It matches the Rfam family "Bacterial small subunit ribosomal RNA", at positions 524 to 777 of the family's 1533-position model. The record is from RNAcentral.
UACGAAGGGGGCUAGCGUUGCUCGGAAUCACUGGGCGUAAAGGGUGCGUAGGCGGGUCUUUAAGUCAGGGGUGAAAUCCUGGAGCUCAACUCCAGAACUGCCUUUGAUACUGAAGAUCUUGAGUUCGGGAGAGGUGAGUGGAACUGCGAGUGUAGAGGUGAAAUUCGUAGAUAUUCGCAAGAACACCAGUGGCGAAGGCGGCUCACUGGCCCGAAACUGACGCUGAGGCACGAAAGCGUGGGGAGCAAACAGGG